Molecule: long non-coding RNA, 241 nt
Filed under: Physcomitrium patens
Lineage: Eukaryota; Viridiplantae; Streptophyta; Bryopsida; Funariales; Funariaceae
Description: long non-coding RNA (PPAT_LNC013093)
Source: RNAcentral
AUAAUAAGGAAUCCAUAUACAAUAAAAUACACAAGCUUCUAAAACCCUGCAUACAUCCAUUAAAGAGUCACAUGAAUCUUUCAUUCUUUCAAUUGUAUCAACUUUGCUUGGAUCUAGCUUUCUUCCAUAAAACCUAUACAAAUAUCCAACAAUAAGUACUUCCUAUAUUCCAAAUAUAGAUUUUAUUCCUGAAAGUGUAAGAUGAACCUCUUCAAGUCGAGUUAAAAUCUUUCCACAAUCU